Molecule: long non-coding RNA, 372 nt
Organism: Lepidothrix coronata (blue-crowned manakin)
Lineage: Eukaryota; Metazoa; Chordata; Aves; Passeriformes; Pipridae
Exons: 2
Source: RefSeq, a predicted model, not a curated record
AUCACAGAACACAUUGCAGUGCUCGAAAACACUCCAGCGUGUCUAUGGACAUCUUGUUCUCUCCUUCUGUCCUUGAGGUGUCAGGUUUCCUUGUUUACAGUCUGCCUCAUUCAGGAUCUGGAAUUCCUAAAGAGCAGUAAAACCCUAUCAUGUGACUGAAGACUGAUUUCCAGGAAAAGCGGAAGAGGUUCUAGGAAAGAUCUGCCUUUGUGAUGACCACUCCCAGAGCAAUCAAGCCUGAGGAAAUUUGUGUCUGAACUGAUGAAGCUCAGUUUUAUUCUCAGCUCCUCACUGGAAAUUUGAAAGUUUUUGUUCUACCUUCACUUUUUCCAUAGUGUUCCUAAUUAAAGAUCUGUGGGUUAAUUCCAUCUG